GACAGAGGGUGCAAACGUUGUUCGGAAUUACUGGGCGUAAAGCGCGUGUAGGCGGCUUGGCAAGUCGGGUGUGAAAGCCCUGGGCUCAACCUAGGAAGUGCACUCGAAACUGCUUCGCUUGAGUGUCGGAGAGGAAAGCGGAAUUCUCGGUGUAGAGGUGAAAUUCGUAGAUAUCGAGAGGAACACCGGUGGCGAAGGCGACUACCUGGCCCACUCUUGACGCUGAGGCGCGAAAGCUAGGGGAGCAAACGGG
RNAcentral lists this ribosomal RNA (253 nucleotides) under uncultured bacterium. Its description in RNAcentral is "partial 16S ribosomal RNA". It matches the Rfam family "Bacterial small subunit ribosomal RNA", at positions 524 to 776 of the family's 1533-position model. The record is from RNAcentral.